AAGGGAGAGGAAUAAGUAGAAAUCUACCCUCGAGUCGGGGAUAGCGGCGGGAAACUGCCGGUAAUACCCGAUAACGUCUUUGGACCAAAGGUGUGAUUCCGUCUGAGGAUGAGUCUACUUCCUAUUAGCUAGUUGGCGGGGUAAUGGCCCACCAAGGCAACGAUGGGUAGCAGGUGUGAGAGCAUGACCUGCCUCAUUGGGACUGAGACACUGCCCAGACACCUACGGGUGGCUGCAGUCGAGAAUCUUCGGCAAUGGACGAAAGUCUGACCGAGCGACGCCGCGUGCGGGAUGAAGGCCUUCGGGUUGUAAACCGCUGUCGGAGGGGAACAAAUGUACGGGGGUUCUCCCCUGUAUUUGAGUGAACCUAGGAGGAAGGAGAGGCUAAGCUCGUGCCAGCAGCCGCGGUAAGACGAGCUCUCCGAACGUUAUUCGGUAUCACUGGGCUUAAAGAGUUCGUAGGCGGUCUGGUAGGUGAGGUGUGAAAUCCCCCGGCUCAACCGGGGAACUACGCUUCAAACCGCCGGACUUGAGGGAGACAGAGGUGGGCGGAACAGAUGGUGGAGCGGUGAAAUGCGUUGA
This 582-nucleotide ribosomal RNA is filed under the name uncultured bacterium. RNAcentral's name for it is "bacterial SSU rRNA". It matches the Rfam family "Bacterial small subunit ribosomal RNA", at positions 102 to 694 of the family's 1533-position model. The record is from RNAcentral.